CAAGCAAAUUGCAUCUAACUUCUCCUUCAAAAUGAAUCUUAUGUUCAUUGUGCUCAUAGAGUUUGGUUAUAUUGUUCAUAACUGUAUUUCUAUGUAACAUAUCUUAACAAGAACCAAAUGUCUCUGAUAUUCUGAGAGAGACUUUCAGANNNNNNNNUAUUGCAAUCUAACAAGAGUAAUGGACAUCCAACACAGAACACACGUAACAAGCAUCAUUU
Molecule: unclassified non-coding RNA, 218 nt
Filed under: Hevea brasiliensis (rubber tree)
Lineage: Eukaryota; Viridiplantae; Streptophyta; Magnoliopsida; Malpighiales; Euphorbiaceae
Source: RNAcentral